ACACUGAUGGUGAAGUGGUUAUCAUGCUUGCCUUCCAUAGGAUUGAGUCCGUUGAGAAGCAAGCGGCAGGGGUUCGAUUCCCCUUCAGUGUA
Non-coding RNA from Asterophora parasitica, 92 nucleotides. The record is from the annotation of a GenBank genome assembly. NCBI's taxonomy places the organism in Eukaryota, Fungi, Basidiomycota, Agaricomycetes, Agaricales, Lyophyllaceae.